Long non-coding RNA from Diabrotica virgifera virgifera (western corn rootworm), 726 nucleotides. RefSeq lists it as uncharacterized. NCBI's taxonomy places the organism in Eukaryota, Metazoa, Arthropoda, Insecta, Coleoptera, Chrysomelidae. The transcript has 2 exons. The record is from RefSeq and is a predicted model, not a curated record.
CAUUCUGUCAAAAACAAAUUUGUUUGGUUUUGUUUUUAAAAUUGUUGAAGUUCUAUUUUCUAUGUGGUUCUAUUUUUUAGUCAUGAAGUUAAGUAGUAUCGUGGGAUAUUUGAAGUUCUUGGGUACUGAAAAUUCCAGAAGUUUUAGAAGGAAAACAAGUUUUAAACUCUGGUCAUCUUAUUUUGGCUGGAAAAAUAGAGGAAAGUUCUGAGCAUACCAUCAAAAUAUAUGGUUUAUUCCUUCAGUAAGGUCCAAUCCCCACGAAAUUAAAGGAACCCUAUCUUUCACAAAUGGCAUGAGCAUUAGCCAAAUGUUAUGUUCUUGUAAAGCAGAAAAUAGUGGAAAAUGUAAACAUGCCUCUACUCUUGUUAAAUGUAAGUAUAAGGGAAGAUGUGAAAUUAAUGGAACAUUCAGUACAUGAGUUGAAAAAAAUGUUAACAGAUUGGCAAAUGAAGACCAUUUUUAAUUGAUCUAAACAUUUAUAGAAACAAAGUAUAUGGUUAAUAUAAAAUAUUACCUGCCUGAAGUAACUUGGUGUACAAAUCAAUAGUAACCCUAAUUUUUAUUCCCAGGGCCAGUGAGAAACAAUGUGCAUUUCAUUUCUAAGUGUUCUAAGGAAAGAUCUCAUAAGAAUAAAUAGAUCUGUAGAAUUAAGAUUAACCUAAUCUGUUUAACCAUCGAAAUUAUUGUAUUGUUAUAAAAAUAAUAAAUCUCCAUUUCAUAUUA